AAUUGCGUAUGUGAGUAUUACAGGUGUGACCUUGGCAAAGCACACUGUAGGAAUAAUGUAACCAACCAGUUGCACGAUGGUCCAUGUGCACUAGGGCCAACUUCCACUACACGAAGCCCAGAAGAAGUUCUCCACGGAAGCGAAAUAGUCUUAGAUUUCCAGUGUGUUUUGCUCAGCCAUAGAGAUUGUCAACCGGCAUAUAAUGAAAAGCUUUGUGGUACUGACGGCAGAACAUACCGCAAUUUUUGCGAAUACGAAAAGGCGAGAUGUACACACAGAGAUCUUCAUGUUGCCAAAUUUGGAGACUGCAAUGCUUAAUUUUAAAAUGCAUAUUGUAUUGUUUUAGGCAUUCAAUAUAGAUCAAAGAAAUGAUAA
Molecule: long non-coding RNA, 375 nt
Organism: Ruditapes philippinarum (Manila clam)
Lineage: Eukaryota; Metazoa; Mollusca; Bivalvia; Venerida; Veneridae
Exons: 3
Source: RefSeq, a predicted model, not a curated record